RNAcentral lists this ribosomal RNA (2370 nucleotides) under Triticum aestivum (bread wheat). RNAcentral describes it as "partial small subunit ribosomal RNA". Lineage: Eukaryota; Viridiplantae; Streptophyta; Magnoliopsida; Poales; Poaceae. The record is from RNAcentral.
AUGGCAGAAGACGCAAUGCUAGUGUCGACGACGUCUGCGCUCGCUAAAGAAUUAGCCCGUGUGCUGACUGCGAAGGUCCACCGUGCCACAGAUACAGUGAAGAGGAUCACCGGAUCCGGGCGAUCGAACCCGGAAAAGAGGCCGGAGGAUAAGUCACUCAACAGUUACGCGCUCCUUCAGGCGUACGUUUUGAUGGCGGUAACAGGGUUAGGCUACCUGGCGCUCACAUGGUCGACGGUAGUCCUCCUGGGUGGCUUCGUCACCUCGCUGGGGAACAAGGAUUUUUGGUGCCUCACAUGCAUCAGCCUGGUACAGGCAGCCAGGAUCUUCAAUGACUCAGGGGACAACUUGUUUCCAAUAUUUCUGACCCUAAUGCAGAAGCUUGCGCGCAAAGUUUUGGCAAAUCGCGUAACUGUUCUGUGGGUACAAGUUGUCUUUGUCAUCACCCAAAUACUAUCCAUGCCGGUCCUGGUUGUGGUCAUAAUUGCAGGGAUCGUUUAUGCAUUUGGGCCGGUCGCCUGCAUCGUGCUCUCUGUGUGGCGCCUAUGGCAGCACGAUUAUGGCAACACUGAAGGAGAUGACAACAAAGCAAACCUGGUGCCAGCACUGAUCAUAUUCUACUGUUUGGUUAUCUGCCAAGUUGUGCUCUACUACAUAUGGUGGUUGAUUGAUCGCUCAGCAAUGUGGGUUGUCGUUUCAUUCUGCAAAGAAUGCAACUUACCAAAAGAGUGGGGAAGCAUAUCAGUUGUAGAUUACCUCUAUGAUACCCGAGUGAAGUGCUGGAGGGACCCUACAUCCAUUGAUGGUAGGAAGCUGAUCAACUAUGCUGUCGAUUUGGUGGACUCGGAAUCGCAGAAAGACUACCUCUCAGGAGCAAGGAUGCUUGACACCUUCAUUAAGCUGGAGGCAGAUGUAAGGUCACUGUUACUCCCCUCUAGACCCAAGAUUCAGAAGCUGAUCGAUACACUAGGGUGGAGAAGCAGCAAUAGAGAACUUAGGGAGGUGGUCGCCAGGAUCGUUGCAUACCUUGCUGGUGACAUCCAUUUGUCCCAGUUCCCUGGGGCAAUACGCUGCAUAUCCUCCCUGCUCGAUACCACCCUGCCGUAUUGGAACAACCAACAAGGAGACAAUCAUCAUUCACCUCCUAGAGAGUCAAAACAGGACACUGGUGCCGCUAGGGAAAGAUUAAUUUCCUUUGUCAAAGGCAUAGACAAAUACAUAGAAAACGAUUUUAGAAACCAAGUGGAUAGCAACGGAGAUGGCUGGAAUGAGCUGAUUCUGCAAGGCCUGACAAUUCUCGAGAGGCUCGCCUUCGAUCCACACAACUGCAGCGACAUAUGCAACACCCCUGAUCUCCUCCCUAAGAUCAUGGCACCUCUAUACUCCAGCACACUAAUCCAAGAUAUCAAUGGAAGCAGUGUUGGCAGAGAGCUGCAGAUGCGUGCCAUAGAAAUACUGACAGAACCGGCUUUUGAUUCGUCGGCCAACCUCUGCACGGGAAUAAAAGAAAAUCUAAUCAAGAAGCAGUUGCAGAUAUUCCUUACUGAUGAUGAAGGGGGAGAAGAAAAGCUUAGAGUUACCGCUGGGAAAUCGCUGGCAUUACUUUCCAGGAUAAAAACUAUCUCUAUGUUCAUAGUGAUGGAACAGAAUAACAUUCUUGAUCGUCUCAAUGAAAUACUUGAUGCUAAGAACAACAUCACUUACAGGAUAGUAGCAUCGGAGAUAUUGGAGAAUUUGUGCACUCACUGUACAUUGGACAAGGAUUACCUGAAGGAAGCCUUGCUGCCAAAGGUCCUCACGGAAGUACUGGUCAGUAAACGAGAUGAAUUGCCGUGUCUUGCAAGAGUGACCGAGGCAGUAAAGGCAAUUGUCGCAACCAAAAAACAUGAAGAAAACCAGGCAGUUUCUGGACCGAGUGAUGAUGAAGAAAACCAACUGCCGUCCAAACACAGUGGCAAAAUCAAGUCAUCUAAUCAGACAAAUAAGGAAUUCCAAGAAGCAUUGUUAUCGCUUACCUUGGUGGUGUGUGUCAGUGCAAAUGACUUCAACGAUGUGGCUCGAGAGAUUUCCCUCCAAGAGAGUGAAUUUGUGCGGAACCUCAAGGCUAUAGUAGAACAAAGCUGUAAGGCUAGAGCUGAUUGUCUAAGAAUCGUGAAGCUUUGUGGCCAGAUUGCGAUAUUAAUGCUGCAGCGCAGCCAUGUCACCGCGGACUUGGAGGAAUGCGUGAAGUCCUUAUGUAAGGCCUCAAAGAUCAUGUCUAACCUUGAAAGUUGCAUGCUCUUUGCUGGAACUGAUUGCGGAGUGAAGAAGACUGCUAGGCCUCUCCUCUCCGACAUUGCCAAAAAAGCGAGCCAGUUGGUUGGUAAUUAG